CAAAAGGUUUGUUUGGAAAUCCUGGGGCAUAAAGCGCACGUAGGCGGCUAGGUCCGUCCAAUGUGAAAGCCCCCGGCGCAACCGGGGAAUUGCAUCGGAUACAGCCUGGCUUGAGGACUGUUGGGGUGAGUGGAACUCCUGGUGGAGCGGUGAAAUGCGUAGAUAUCAGGAGGAACACCGGUGGCGAAAGCGGCUCACUGGACCGUUACUGACGCUGAGGUGCGAAGGCGAGGGGAGCAAACGGGAUUAGAUACCCCGGUAGUCCUAGCCGUAAACGAUGGGCACUGGGUAGGGGGGAAGCCUAUGCUCUUCCCUGCCGAAGCAAAUGUGUUAAGUGCCCCGCCUGGGGAGUACGCUCGCAAGGGUAAAACUCAAAGGAAUUGACGGGGGCUCACACAAGCGGUGGAGCAUGUGGUUCAAUUCGAAGCAACGCGAAGAACCUU
Molecule: ribosomal RNA, 443 nt
Filed under: uncultured bacterium
Lineage: Bacteria
Description: bacterial SSU rRNA
Rfam family: Bacterial small subunit ribosomal RNA
Source: RNAcentral